This 440-nucleotide ribosomal RNA is filed under the name uncultured bacterium. RNAcentral describes it as "partial 16S ribosomal RNA". It matches the Rfam family "Bacterial small subunit ribosomal RNA", at positions 338 to 795 of the family's 1533-position model. The record is from RNAcentral.
CCUACGGGGUGCAGCAGUAGGGAAUAUUGCUCAAUGGGGGAAACCCUGAAGCAGCAACGCCGCGUGGAGGAUGAAGGUUUUCGGAUUGUAAACUCCUUUUGUUAGAGAAGAUAAUGACGGUAUCUAAAGAAUAAGCACCGGCUAACUCCGUGCCAGCAGCCGCGGUAAUACGGAGGGUGCAAGCGUUACUCGGAAUCACUGGGCGUAAAGGGCGCGUAGGCGGGUUAGCAAGUCAGAUGUGAAAUCCUAUGGCUUAACCAUAGAACUGCAUUUGAAACUGUUAUUCUAGAGUAUGGUAGAGGUAGGUAGAAUUCUUGGUGUAGGGGUAAAAUCCGUAGAGAUGUAGAGGAAUACUCAUUGCGAAGGCGACCUGCUAGAACAUGACUGACGCUGAUGCGCGAAAGCGUGGGGAGCAAACAGGAUUAGAUACCCCUGUAGUC